This 1225-nucleotide long non-coding RNA is filed under the name Ficedula albicollis (Collared flycatcher). RNAcentral's name for it is "lncRNA (ENSFALG00000027264.1)". Lineage: Eukaryota; Metazoa; Chordata; Aves; Passeriformes; Muscicapidae. The record is from RNAcentral.
AUGUCAUGGGGACACAUCCAUGGGACACAUCCAUGGGGACAUCAUUUCAUGGGACACAUCCAUGGGGACGUUAAUUUGUGGGACACAUCCAUGGGGACAUCAUCCCGUGGGACACAUCCAUGGGGACAUCAUCUCAUGGGAUGCAUCAUCUUUGUGGGGACACAUCCGUGGGGAUGUCAACUUGUGGGACACAUCCAUGGGGGACACAUCCACGGGGACAUCGUCACCUUCCUGGGGACAUCUCAUCUUUCUGGGGACAUCAUCUUCUUGGGACCCAUCAUCUCCACAGGGACACGUUGUUCCUUUGGGGACACAACCAUGGGGCCAUCAUCUUGUGGGACGUGCCAUCCUUGUGGGGACACAUCCGUAGGGACGUCACCUCCAUGGGACGCGUCGUCCUUGUGGGGACAUCAUCUUCUUGGGACCCAUCACCUCCAUGGGGACAGAUUGUCUCCUUGGGGACACCAUCUCCGUGGGGACACCACCACGGGGACAGACAGUGUCCAUGGGGACACGCUGUGUGCACGGGGACACCUCACCUCCAUGGGGACACCCGAGUGGGGACACCUCACCUGCACGGGGACGUCUCUGCUGGGGACUGCCCAGCCCCCUCUACCAGAUGUGGGGUCCCCCCAUGCUCUGGGUGCACCACGGACCCCCAGGAGGGUUUGGGGUUCUCUGUGCUCUGCGGGAUUCAGGUUUUGGGGUGUCCCACACGCCCAAGGUGCAGCUCAGACCCCCACUUACCCGAUUUGGGACUGGGCUCUUCACUUUUUGAGGUGCCCCAUCCCUGGGUGCUUCACCUUUUGGGGUGCCCCUCACUCCCCGUGCCCCCCAGGGAUGACCUGCCAGGUGUGCAGCUCCUACCUGGCGGAUGAGGUGGGGUCAGGGAGAUUCAGGUACAGGGGUGCCCCCAGAUUCAGGAAUUGGGGUGCCCCAGAUUCAGGUACAGGGGUGCCCCCAGAUUCAGGAACUGGGUUCCCCCAGAUUCAGGUACAGGGGUGCCCUCAGAUUCAGGAAUUGGGUUCCCCCAGAUGCAGGAAUUGGGUUCCCCCAGAUUCAGGAUUUGGGGUGCCCCAGAUUCAGGUACAGGGGUGCCCCCAGAUUCAGGAAUUGGGGUGCCCCAGAUUCAGGUACAGGGGUGCCCCCAGAUUCAGGGGGGGGGGGGGGGGGGGGGGGGGGGGGGGGGGGGGGGGGGGGGGGGGGGGGGGGGGGGGGGGGGGGG